This 482-nucleotide ribosomal RNA is filed under the name uncultured bacterium. RNAcentral describes it as "partial 16S ribosomal RNA". It matches the Rfam family "Bacterial small subunit ribosomal RNA", at positions 28 to 507 of the family's 1533-position model. The record is from RNAcentral.
GACGAACGCUAGCGGCAGGCUUAACACAUGCAAGUCGAACGAGAUUAAGAGGCUUGCUUCUUAUGCACGUGGCGCACGGGUGCGUAUCGCGUAUGCAUCCUACCUUAAUCAGGGGGAUAGCCCGAAGAAAUUCGGAUUAUGAUCGCAUAAAAACACAGGAUAGCAUUAUCCAAUGUUCAAAUGUUUAUAGGAUUAAGAUGGGCAUGCGUGUCAUUAGCUAGUUGGCGGGGUAACGGCCCUCCAAGGCGACGAUGACUAGGGGAGCGGAGGGGAUGACCCCUGACACUGGGACUGGGACACGGACCAGACACCUACGGGAGGGAGGAGUAAGGAAGAUAGGUGAGGGGAAGAGACUCUGAACCGGCCAGGCCGCGUGCAGGAACGCAGCGCUCUGGAUCGUAGACUUCUGGUAGUAAAGAAUAUGCGUUUCUACGGGAAGGAAGCUGAAGGUACCGAAGGAAUAAGGACCGGCUAACUCCGUG